Molecule: transfer RNA, 72 nt
Filed under: Bos taurus (domestic cattle)
Lineage: Eukaryota; Metazoa; Chordata; Mammalia; Artiodactyla; Bovidae
Also listed under: 1 other name
Rfam family: tRNA
About the family: Transfer RNA (tRNA) molecules are approximately 80 nucleotides in length. Their secondary structure includes four short double-helical elements and three loops (D, anti-codon, and T loops). Further hydrogen bonds mediate the characteristic L-shaped molecular structure. tRNAs have two regions of fundamental functional importance: the anti-codon, which is responsible for specific mRNA codon recognition, and the 3' end, to which the tRNAs corresponding amino acid is attached (by aminoacyl-tRNA synthetases). tRNAs cope with the degeneracy of the genetic code in two manners: having more than one tRNA (with a specific anti-codon) for a particular amino acid; and 'wobble' base-pairing, i.e. permitting non-standard base-pairing at the 3rd anti-codon position.
Source: Rfam by way of RNAcentral
UCCCUUGUGGCUCAGCUGGUAAAGAAUCUGCCUGCAAUGCGGAAGACCUGGGUUCGAUCCCUAGGUUGGGAA